RNAcentral lists this ribosomal RNA (301 nucleotides) under uncultured bacterium. RNAcentral describes it as "partial 16S ribosomal RNA". It matches the Rfam family "Bacterial small subunit ribosomal RNA", at positions 509 to 807 of the family's 1533-position model. The record is from RNAcentral.
CAGUAGCCGCGGGAAUACGAAGGGUGCAAGCGUUAAUCGGAAUUACUGGGCGUAAAGCGUGCGUAGGCGGUGAGUUAAGUCUGCUGUGAAAGCCCUGGGCUCAACCUGGGAAUUGCAGUGGAUACUGGAUCACUAGAGUGUGGUAGAGGAUAGUGGAAUUUCCGGUGUAGCAGUGAAAUGCGUAGAGAUCGGAAGGAACAUCUGUGGCGAAGGCGACUAUCUGGGCCAACACUGACACUGAGGCACGAAAGCGUGGGGAGCAAACAGGAUUAGAGACCCCGGUAGUCCCUGUCUCUUAUAC